This 1446-nucleotide ribosomal RNA is filed under the name uncultured bacterium. Its description in RNAcentral is "bacterial SSU rRNA". It matches the Rfam family "Bacterial small subunit ribosomal RNA". The record is from RNAcentral.
GACGAACGCUGGCGGCGUGCCUAACACAUGCAAGUCGAGCGGUAACAUAUCUUCGGAUAUGUCUACAGCGGCGGACGGGUGAGUAACACGUGGGCAACCUGCCCUAUAGUGGGGGAUAGCCAAUCGAAAGGUUGAAUAAUACCGCAUAACACUAUUUUACCGCAUGGUGAGAUAGUCAAAGGAGUGAAAACUCCGCUAAAGGAUGGGCCCGCGGUCCAUUAGCUAGUUGGUGAGGCAGAGGCUCACCAAGGCGACGAUGGAUAGCCGAUCUGAGAGGAUGAACGGCCACAUUGGAACUGAGAGACGGUCCAGACUCCUACGGGAGGCAGCAGUGGGGAAUAUUGCGCAAUGGGGGAAACCCUGACGCAGCAACGCCGCGUGGAGGAUGAAGGUUUUCGGAUUGUAAACUCCUGUCUUCGCUGACGAUAAUGACGGUAAGCGAGGAGGAAGCCACGGCUAACUACGUGCCAGCAGCCGCGGUAAUACGUAGGUGGCGAGCGUUGUCCGGAAUUACUGGGCGUAAAGGGUGCGCAGGCGGUUAAUUAAGUCAGAUGUGAAAUUCCGGAGCUUAACUUCGGAAUUGCAUUUGAAACUGGUUAGCUAGAGUGCAGGAGAGGAAAGCGGAAUUCCUAGUGUAGCGGUGAAAUGCGUAGAUAUUAGGAAGAACACCAGUGGCGAAGGCGGCUUUCUGGACUGUAACUGACGCUGAGGCACGAAAGCGUGGGGAGCAAACAGGAUUAGAUACCCUGGUAGUCCACGCUGUAAACGAUGAAUGCUAGGUGUGGGGGGUUUCGACACCCUCUGUGCCGCAGUUAACGCAAUAAGCAUUCCGCCUGGGGAGUACGGUCACAAGACUAAAACUCAAAGGAAUUGACGGGGGCCCGCACAAGCAGCGGAGCAUGUGGUUUAAUUCGAAGCAACGCGAAGAACCUUACCAGGGCUUGACAUCUACCUAAUCCUAUAGAGAUAUGGGAGUGCCCUUCGGGGAAAGGUAAGACAGGUGGUGCAUGGUUGUCGUCAGCUCGUGUCGUGAGAUGUUGGGUUAAGUCCCGCAACGAGCGCAACCCUUGUCAUUAGUUGCUAACACGCGAUGGUGAGCACUCUAAUGAGACUGCCGGGGAUAACUCGGAGGAAGGUGGGGAUGACGUCAAAUCAUCAUGCCCUUUAUGUCCUGGGCGACACACGUGCUACAAUGGCUACAACAAAGAGAAGCAAGCCCGCAAGGGGGAGCAAAUCACUAAAAGUAGUCCCAGUUCGGAUUGACGGCUGAAACUCGCCAUCAUGAAGCUGGAGUUGCUAGUAAUCGCGAAUCAGCAUGUCGCGGUGAAUACGUUCCCGGGCCUUGUACACACCGCCCGUCACACCAUGAGAGUCAGCAACACCCGAAGCCUGUGAGGAAACUCGAAAGAGGUCCAGCAGUCGAAGGUGGGGCGGAUGAUUGGGGUG